CACGCACAAAUGCAGAUCAGGCUGAGUAUCUUUGCUCUCAGCACUGCUCUAAAAAAAGCAUUUCUUACUUAUCAAACCGGGCUGCAUUCUUACUUAGGAACUUCUACUGCAAAAGUGCAGCUGGUCAGAAAUCUGGAUUUCAUGGGGGACGUUCCUGUGCUUUCCAGCUUCUGUUAUACGCUGGGGCAGGGAUGUUUCUAGCAUCGAAAGUUCUAAAGAGUUUUAAUUGAAGGACAUUUUUGUUUCAGUGUUAAGAUUCAGUUCAGUCCUCUAACCUGCUGUUCUUUCCAGAGAUGUCGCAAUAAAGAGCCUUCGUGCUGAGCAACAAACCCCCCGAGACCCUGCGGAGGGUUUGGCUUAGUGCUGGUUUGUGUUAAAGCACAAUCAGUUCAUGUUAAGCUUUCUAAUGAGAAAACGAGGAGGACAAAGAUUGGGUUGCAAAGCUGCUGGUGUGGUUGCCAAGUGGGGGAUAGGCAGCACCUCCAGAUUUCUCAGGAGAUUUUACUGCAGUGCUGGCAGCAGUGAGGGAAGAUCCAAAUAAGCAGCAGAAAGCAGUGCAAGAAAGUGUGCAAUUCUCACCAUGUGGGAUGCUUCCCCAGAUUCUGGACCCAAGAGUAGCAAACUUGAAGAGUUCUCCCGGACAGCAACGUGUCUGGUACAGAUGGGGAAAACCCUUCUGAGCCAUGGAGUGAAUUUACUGCGCUUUCACUGUGACACAGAGCUGGAAAUACUUCAGGACUUGGCACCUUAUGGAAGAAGUCUGAAAACCUGAAUCUCCAUCUUGUGUUCAGACAAAAGUCUCCAGUUUCUCUGUGAGAUCAGGAGGCUAUGGCCACUGCAGAAUUGGGAUGCUCCCAUAGUGUUGUGCUAUUUUAGCUAUUAUGGCUGCUUUAAUUCAUGCUUCGGUGGUUGUUUUUAGGUUUUUAUUUUUUUCCCCAAAACCUUAAACAAAACAAAACGACUGCCCCAAUCUGAUCCAGCUCACCUGUGCUUGACCUUUCUGUCUCCACCACGCCAUGCAGCUGGUCCUGCAGUUCAUUUGUGCUUUUUUUGUUGGUGCCACUUUUGCUCUCUUUCAAAAGAGAUGCGGAGAGGCCACAUCAAGCUACAUACACCCACACCCAUGCCAGAAUUGCAGAACCCUACAGCCAAGUCUGCUGCUUUCAGUAAAAGGGGCAGGGCUUUUAGAUACCUCAUAGAAGUGGAUUAAGACUCUAACGGCUUAAAAAGUACACAAAUAUUCAGAAAUAUUUGUGGUGCUCAUGAGUAAUGUUAUUAGCUUGAAGAUUACAGUGCUUAAUGUACAACAGGAUUUGAGGAUUUAAUAGUAAAGAUCCAGAGUAAUGUGGCAGAUGUCUUGCAUUAGAGUACACUUAAGUGUGUAUCAGAGUAGAAAAUAUUUUCUAUUUUAUUACAUUACAUAACAUAAGGGAAAGGUUUAAAAACAAGUUGUAUUAAUAGAUACGCUGCAUUUCUUCCUUAUUUGUGCUGGUGGAUAGCUAAACUUCUGACUUCCUUUGUUUUUGACGGUUACAUCAUGCAUGAUGGGUUUACCAAGAGAAUUAAUAAAAUGCUUCAGCUUAUUUUUCAUUCAAGAUCAUGAUGACGGAGCUCUGUCUGGUAAGCUGCUGAAGGUGCUUAACUUACUCCUCCCUUGUUUCUCUGUUGGCUGCACUGCCUGCUCCUGCAGACUCCAAAUAGAGCAUGAGCCUGCCUUGGGUGAAAGAUCCAUCCUGUCAGAUAAAGCCCCUCAAGGCUGUUCCCCAUAUAGCUCAGCUGCUACUGGCUGGGAAGGAGUGGAAGCAGAGAGCAAAGUAUGGCAGUAUAGACAGAUGUGAUGAUGGGGCAAAACUUUCAUGUAUGAGUAUUGUGCUCCUUUCCUUUUACAAGGCAUGUAGCAACCUUAGCAUGCAGGAGCUGUUAGGUAUAUCUCCUUCAGAGGUGCUUAAUCAGAUGCUAUACCUAUACAAAACACUUUGUAAUUCACGGAUCUCAUGCUGAGUUUAAUAAUAGGACAAGAAACUCUUCUGUUAUAUUUAUAGAUGAAUAAAUAAGCCGUUAUCUGUGGCUUAUUUUCCUCUAUACCAUGACAUGCCUCGUUUCUUAACUGAUAGAAAACUAGAAUCAAACACAUCUCUAUUGAGCAAGCUGUAAAUUGAGGCUGUGAGUUGCUUUAUUCAUAAAAUGUGAAGAGUCUUUUGUGCUCUCACUGGUCUCCAACAUCCUUUUUCCCCAUGUGGAUGAGGCUGGAUCCAGGUGUGGGAUUUGCAUAGGCUGCAUCCAAACCAGGGAAGUGAACACUGUCUCUGCUGUUGCCUGGAGUGCAGCUGAGCAUUGCAGCCACUCUGCGCCAACUUGACAAGCCACUUAGCUUUCUAUUCAGUCUUCUCAUCUACACAAAGUUGUUAAUACUCCUCUGAACAUUUUCGAGAUGAAGGUCCAGCAGUAAACUCAGGCUUACUCAGCAGCAGGGGCAGGGGCAGGAAGAUUACUGUCUGUGCUUGUUUUAUUUAUCUUUCCCCUCUCUCUGCCUAUGAAAGGUAUUGCUGAGUGCACGGAAUCCCUGGCUGUCACAGUCUCAAAUGCAUCCUGGUAUAACACAUUGUACAUGCUGCUCUAGUGCAAUCAGAUGGUUUUUUGUUUUCCUUUGGAUUCUGAUAUAAUUAGAUGCACAUGAAAAGAGAAAAUACUUUAAAAUGUUUACGUUUUUAUGCAUCUCUGAUAUUCUUCACAAACACAUCAAGUCCGAAUGAACCCACGGUCCACUGCUGAGACAUCACUUACUUGUUAGAAGUCACGUUUGUGUUCUGCUGAACUGUGAUAUUUACAAACGUUUACACUGUUGGGCCUUUAGGCACAAUGAGGGGAGAAAAGUGCCCAGGAAAGCAGUGACCACUGAAAAGUUGCUUUCCUUCCUGCUUAUCGGUUAGAGUGCUGUUGUCUGGUCUUCCAUGCAAGAGAAGUACUUGUCUUGGAAGUUUACAUCCAUACAUUUUUUAAACGCAGAAGUAUCUAUCCUGCUUAGCUUUGUUUUGAGGGAAGGAUAUUCUGUAAGAGCAUAAAUGAAAGGAAUAGAGAUACUUCGUCAGUAAUAGAGCUACUUACAUUUAGACUCAGAAGUGAGGAAGAUAACUAACCCGACACCUUAUUUUACUCCCAGAAUUUGACUGUGAAGCUCUUCUCCAAAAACACACUGCUAAUCAGCACUUUAUCUCUCACUGAAAUAUGAGAAGAGCUGGGAUAUUACACUACGUUUCACUGAAUAUCUUUUUUUUUCACCACUGGGAAAAGAAAAGGAAACAAAAAUUGGCAGAACUUGGACUUCCUUAUGUGAGUCUUCAGGGCAUGAAAGAGCUGCACUGUAAGCUUGGAAUCAGAAAGUGGUGAGCAAGAAGCUUAAGAGAAACUAGCAAGAUCCAUGACAACUGCUAUGAACAGUGUUGGAGGAGAAAUCCUUUGAAUAACUUAGUUACAAAGUCUUUCAGUCUGACCAACUUGUAGUCCUCCGAGUCCUAUUUGUCACUGCAAUUCACUGCUUGCUGUGAUUCUGUAUGUUUUAAAUUUUAUCACUCCAGUAUUCCUGAAGCAUCCUUUACUGCAGCAAGCUAUUUAUUCUCCCACUUUCAGAAUAUGAGAGAUGUUUCUGUGGCUGCUUCACUCCCAAUUCUUAUGCCUCCUUAUACCUGCAUGGUGCAGUGACCACAAAUGG
Gallus gallus (chicken) is the source of this 3709-nucleotide long non-coding RNA. NCBI's taxonomy places the organism in Eukaryota, Metazoa, Chordata, Aves, Galliformes, Phasianidae. The record is from Ensembl.